This 284-nucleotide ribosomal RNA is filed under the name uncultured Glomeromycotina. RNAcentral describes it as "partial 18S ribosomal RNA". It matches the Rfam family "Eukaryotic small subunit ribosomal RNA", at positions 772 to 1092 of the family's 1831-position model. The record is from RNAcentral. Lineage: Eukaryota; Fungi; Glomeromycota.
UGCUCAAAGCAGGCCAGUGCCUGAAUACAUUAGCAUGGAAUAAUAAAAUAGGACGGCAUGGUUCUAUUUUGUUGGUUUCUAGGAUCACCGUAAUAAUUAAUAGGAAUAGUUGGGGGCAUUAGUAUUCAAUUGUCAGAGGUGAAAUUCUUGGAUUGCUUUCAUUAAUCAAGAACGAAAGUUAGGGGAUCGAAGACGAUCAGAUACCGUCGUAGUCUUAACCAUAAACUAUGCCGACUAGGGAUCGGACGAUGUUAAUUUUUUAAUGACUCGUUCGGCGCCUUACG